AGUUUGAGGCAGCUGCAUCUUGAUGUGUUGGAUGAGUAAGUGGGCAGUGAAGGAGAGAAGCCAAGUUCAGAAGGGGCUCUGCCUUUACUGCUCCCAGGAAGCCUGUGCCCAUGGAAAUUACACAAUAUGGUUGAUCUCCUUUGCAUAAACUCCAGCAUGGUCUUAAGGAACAGUGGAGAUCCAGGCGCUGAGGAAAAAGGAAGGGACUAAGAAAAGAAAUGGAAGGAACUUGUAAGCAAGAUUGCUUAUGUUGGAUUCUGAAUGAAGAGCAAGAUCCAGUUUUCACUGCUGCUGGAAAUUUUUAAACAGCAAGAAGAUAAAUCUGUGAGAAAAGUAAACAAAGCUAUAAGAUGGAGUAGACUCUCGUGUGUCCCCAGAGAUGAGUUUCCAUGCGAUUGUCUGUGUGCUAAAGCAACUGCCAGAGAGGCAAUUGGG
Zonotrichia albicollis (white-throated sparrow) is the source of this 435-nucleotide non-coding RNA. The record is from RefSeq and is a predicted model, not a curated record. Lineage: Eukaryota; Metazoa; Chordata; Aves; Passeriformes; Passerellidae.